Molecule: ribosomal RNA, 556 nt
Filed under: Bifidobacterium breve
Lineage: Bacteria; Bacillati; Actinomycetota; Actinomycetes; Bifidobacteriales; Bifidobacteriaceae
Description: bacterial SSU rRNA
Rfam family: Bacterial small subunit ribosomal RNA
Source: RNAcentral
UCUCCUGGAAAAGGGUGGUAAUGCCGGAUGCUCCAUCACACCGCAUGGUGUGUUGGGAAAGCCUUUGCGGCAUGGGAUGGGGUCGCGUCCUAUCAGCUUGAUGGCGGGGUAACGGCCCACCAUGGCUUCGACGGGUAGCCGGCCUGAGAGGGCGACCGGCCACAUUGGGACUGAGAUACGGCCCAGACUCCUACGGGAGGCAGCAGUGGGGAAUAUUGCACAAUGGGCGCAAGCCUGAUGCAGCGACGCCGCGUGAGGGAUGGAGGCCUUCGGGUUGUAAACCUCUUUUGUUAGGGAGCAAGGCAUUUUGUGUUGAGUGUACCUUUCGAAUAAGCACCGGCUAACUACGUGCCAGCAGCCGCGGUAAUACGUAGGGUGCAAGCGUUAUCCGGAAUUAUUGGGCGUAAAGGGCUCGUAGGCGGUUCGUCGCGUCCGGUGUGAAAGUCCAUCGCUUAACGGUGGAUCCGCGCCGGGUACGGGCGGGCUUGAGUGCGGUAGGGGAGACUGGAAUUCCCGGUGUAACGGUGGAAUGUGUAGAUAUCGGAAAAGAACACCA